This 433-nucleotide ribosomal RNA is filed under the name uncultured bacterium. RNAcentral describes it as "partial 16S ribosomal RNA". It matches the Rfam family "Bacterial small subunit ribosomal RNA", at positions 29 to 507 of the family's 1533-position model. The record is from RNAcentral.
AACGAACGCUGGCGGCAGGCCUAACACAUGCAAGUCGAGCGAGGACUUCGGUUCUAGCGGCGGACGGGUGAGUAACGCGUGGGAAUGUGCCCUUCUCUACGGAAUAGCCCUGGGAAACUGGGAGUAAUACCGUAUACGCCCUAUUGGGGAAAGAUUUAUCGGAGAAGGAUCAGCCCGCGUUGGAUUAGGUAGUUGGUGGGGUAAUGGCCUACUAAGCCGACGAUCCAUAGCUGGUUUGAGAGGAUGAUCAGCCACACUGGGACUGAGACACGGCCCAGACUCCUACGGGAGGCAGCAGUGGGGAAUCUUAGACAAUGGGGGCAACCCUGAUCGAGCCAUGCCGCGUGAGUGAUGAAGGCCUUAGGGUUGUAAAGCUCUUUCAGCUGGGAAGAUAAUGACGGUACCAGCAGAAGAAGCCCCGGCUAACUCCGUG